GGGGCCAUAGCUCAGCUGGAAGAGCGCCUGCUUUGCACGCAGGAGGUCGCCGGUUCGAGUCCGGCUGGCUCCA
This 73-nucleotide transfer RNA is filed under the name Thermoleophilum album. It matches the Rfam family "tRNA". From Rfam's summary of the family: Transfer RNA (tRNA) molecules are approximately 80 nucleotides in length. Their secondary structure includes four short double-helical elements and three loops (D, anti-codon, and T loops). RNAcentral also lists the same sequence under 2 other names. Lineage: Bacteria; Bacillati; Actinomycetota; Thermoleophilia; Thermoleophilales; Thermoleophilaceae. The record is from Rfam by way of RNAcentral.